UAACAUAACAAUUAAAUUACCUAUUGUUCGCCAAAUAACUACGAGUAAAAACUUAAAAUUUAAAAGACUUGACGGUACCUCAAAACAACCUAGAGGAGCCUGUCUAAUAACCGAUACUCCACGAUUAACCCAACCCACUCUAGCCUAACAGUCUAUAUACCGCCGUCGCCAGCCUACCUUGUGAAAGAAACAAAGUGAGCCAAAUAGCUAUACACUAAUACGACAGGUCGAGGUGUAACUUAUGGGCGGGUCAAAGAUGGGCUACAUUUUCUAAUACAGAAAACACGGAUAAAUCUAUGAAAUAGAAACUGAAGGCGGAUUUAGCAGUAUGCUGAGAACAACAUACCCAACUGAAACCAAUGCAAUGAGGUGCGUACACACCGCCCGUCAUCCCUGUAACACUAACAAAAACAUAUAUAAACAUAAAUAACCACCAAAGC
This 440-nucleotide ribosomal RNA is filed under the name Lampropeltis getula. RNAcentral describes it as "partial 12S ribosomal RNA". The record is from RNAcentral. Lineage: Eukaryota; Metazoa; Chordata; Lepidosauria; Squamata; Colubridae.